GGCUGUAAACCGAGGGGUUAUAGUGAAUUCCCAAGUGAGGCUUGGGGAGUGGACGUAGGAGCAAGGGUUAGCUCCGAACCACUAUAAAAUCAUUGUGUUUGUGAUUGCAUUUGUCUCUCUUACUUUCAUUUCAUUCACUGCACAUAGCAUCUAAUUAAUCAACUUGCAAAAAGGAUUAAUUAGUAUCUCACAAACCAUUUAAUUGUAAAAAUUAUUUUAAAACCCAAUUCACCCCCCCUCUUGGGUUGUCUAUCUGGGCAACAA
This 264-nucleotide long non-coding RNA is filed under the name Phoenix dactylifera (date palm). RNAcentral's name for it is "long non-coding RNA (PDAC_LNC009276)". Lineage: Eukaryota; Viridiplantae; Streptophyta; Magnoliopsida; Arecales; Arecaceae. The record is from RNAcentral.